Molecule: ribosomal RNA, 921 nt
Filed under: Limosilactobacillus fermentum
Lineage: Bacteria; Bacillati; Bacillota; Bacilli; Lactobacillales; Lactobacillaceae
Description: bacterial SSU rRNA
Rfam family: Bacterial small subunit ribosomal RNA
Source: RNAcentral
CGGUAAUACGUAGGUGGCAAGCGUUAUCCGGAUUUAUUGGGCGUAAAGAGAGUGCAGGCGGUUUUCUAAGUCUGAUGUGAAAGCUUCGGCUUAACCGGAGAAGUGCAUCGGAAACUGGAUAACUUGAGUGCAGAAGAGGGUAGUGGAACUCCAUGUGUAGCGGUGGAAUGCGUAGAUAUAUGGAAGAACACCAGUGGCGAAGGCGGCUACCUGGUCUGCAACUGACGCUGAGACUCGAAAGCAUGGGUAGCGAACAGGAUUAGAUACCCUGGUAGUCCAUGCCGUAAACGAUGAGUGCUAGGUGUUGGAGGGUUUCCGCCCUUCAGUGCCGGAGCUAACGCAUUAAGCACUCCGCCUGGGGAGUACGACCGCAAGGUUGAAACUCAAAGGAAUUGACGGGGGCCCGCACAAGCGGUGGAGCAUGUGGUUUAAUUCGAAGCUACGCGAAGAACCUUACCAGGUCUUGACAUCUUGCGCCAACCCUAGAGAUAGGGCGUUUCCUUCGGGAACGCAAUGACAGGUGGUGCAUGGUCGUCGUCAGCUCGUGUCGUGAGAUGUUGGGUUAAGUCCCGCAACGAGCGCAACCCUUGUUACUAGUUGCCAGCAUUAAGUUGGGCACUCUAGUGAGACUGCCGGUGACAAACCGGAGGAAGGUGGGGACGACGUCAGAUCAUCAUGCCCCUUAUGACCUGGGCUACACACGUGCUACAAUGGACGGUACAACGAGUCGCGAACUCGCGAGGGCAAGCAAAUCUCUUAAAACCGUUCUCAGUUCGGACUGCAGGCUGCAACUCGCCUGCACGAAGUCGGAAUCGCUAGUAAUCGCGGAUCAGCAUGCCGCGGUGAAUACGUUCCCGGGCCUUGUACACACCGCCCGUCACACCAUGAGAGUUUGUAACACCCAAAGUCGGUGGGGUAACC